Molecule: ribosomal RNA, 497 nt
Filed under: uncultured bacterium
Lineage: Bacteria
Description: partial 16S ribosomal RNA
Rfam family: Bacterial small subunit ribosomal RNA
Source: RNAcentral
GAUGAACGCUGGCGGCGUGCCUAAUACAUGCAAGUCGAGCGAACGGACGAGAAGCUUGCUUCUCUGAUGUUAGCGGCGGACGGGUGAGUAACACGUGGAUAACCUACCUAUAAGACUGGGAUAACUUCGGGAAACCGGAGCUAAUACCGGAUAAUAUUUUGAACCGCAUGGUUCAAAAGUGAAAGACGGUCUUGCUGUCACUUAUAGAUGGAUCCGCGCUGCAUUAGCUAGUUGGUAAGGUAACGGCUUACCAAGGCAACGAUGCAUAGCCGACCUGAGAGAGUGAUCGGCCACCCUGGAACUGAGACACGGUCCAGACUCCUACGGGAGGCAGCAGUAGGGAAUCUUCCGCAAUGGGCGAAAGCCUGACGGAGCAACGCCGCGUGAGUGAUGAAGGUCUUCGGAUCGUAAAACUCUGUUAUUAGGGAAGAACAUAUGUGUAAGUAACUGUGCACAUCUUGACGGUACCUAAUCAGAAAGCCACGGCUAACUACGUG